Molecule: ribosomal RNA, 2035 nt
Filed under: human gut metagenome
Description: bacterial LSU rRNA
Rfam family: Bacterial large subunit ribosomal RNA
Source: RNAcentral
UUAAGGUAUCAAGGGCAUACGACGGAUGCCUAGGCACUUACAGCCGACGAAAGACGCAGCAAGCGGCGAAACGCCGCGGGGAGCCGCAAGCAGGCCUCGAUCCGCGGAUAUCUGAAUGGGGCAACCCCACGGGAGCAGACCCGUGACUCCGUAAAGGAGAGGAACCCGGUGAAGUGAAACAUCUCAGUAGCCGGAGGAAAAGAAAUCGCAGAGAUCCCCCCAGUAGUGGUGAGCGAACAGGGGCCAGCCUAAACCCAUACAGUGCAAGGCAGCAGCCGUUGCUGUACAGGGAGUUGCGGGACAGUCGGGGAAGCGCUGCUGAGCUUCCGCAGAGUGAGAAAAGACCGAGUUAGUCGAAUCGUGUUGGAAAAGCGAGCCGCAGAGCGUGAAAGCCGCGUAGACGAAAACCCGGUCCCUCUGAAGACCCAAUCCCAAGUAGAGCGGAGCACGAGAAAUUCCGUUUGAAUCCGGGCCGCCCAUGGUCCAAGGCUAAAUACUGUAAGUGACCGAUAGCGCAUAGUACCGAGAGGGAAAGGUGAAAAGCACCCCGGGAGGGGAGUGAAAGAGACCUGAAAUCGUAUGCCUACAAGCAGUUGGAGCUUGAAAUACAGCGAUGUAUGGAAAGUGACAGCGUGCCUAUUGAAAAAUGAGCCGGCGAGAUAUUGCAUGCAGCGAGGUUAAGGGAUGAAGUUCCGGAGCCGAAGCGAAAGCGAGUUCGAAGAGAGCGCGAAGUUGCCUGCAAUAAACCCGAAGCCUGACGAUCUAGCCAUGGGCAGGUUGAAGUGGGGGUGAAACCCCAUGGAGGACCGCACCAGUGCCUGUUGAAAAAGUCUUGGAUGACCUGUGGUUAGGAGUGAAAAGCUAAUCGAGUUAGGUAAUAGCUGGUUCUCCCCGAAAUGCAUUGAGGUGCAGCCUUGAUGGAUUCGUGUCGAGGGUAGAGCGACUGACAGCUCAAGCGGUCCUGGGGGAUUUGCGCGAGCCAUCAAACUCCGAAUAUCGACACGAGAAAGUCAGGAGUGAGACCGCGGGUGAUAAGGUUCGUGGUCGAAAGGGAAACAGCCCAGAUCAUCAGCUAAGGCCCCGAAGAGCAUGCUAAGUGUGACAAGGAUGUAGGGACCCGGAAACAGCCAGGAGGUUGGCUCAGAAGCAGCCAUCCUUUAAAGAGUGCGUAACAGCUCACUGGUCGAGGACCCCCGCGCCGAAAAUGUAGGGGGCUAAGCAUGCCGCCGAAGCUAUGGGAUGGAGAAAUCCAUCGGUAGGGGAGCGUAGUCAGCGGGACGAAGCGAAAUUGUAAAGUUUCGUGGACAGCUGAGUAGUGAGAAUGCCGGCAUGAGUAACGACAUAUUUGCGAGAAUCAAAUACACCGGAAGACCAAGGAUUCCUGGGGAAGGUUGAUCCGCCCAGGGUAAGGCGGGACCUAAGUCAAGGCUGAAAAGCGUAGAUAAUGGACAGCAGGUCGAAAUUCCUGCCCCGCGAUAAGUUCGCUACGACCGAAGCAGCGACGCAGAAAGCUAGACAGGCCGGCUGAUGGAAUAGCCAGUCCAAGGAAGCAGGUUGGAGAGACAGUCAAGCACAUCUCUCCGUCAAGACCGAGAUCCGAGAGGGAGCCUCUUUCGAGGCGAAGCUGUUGAAGCUCUGCUGCCAGGAAAACCUGCUAGGGAGAACUUAUGGCGCCCGUACCCGAAACCGACACAGGUGGUCAAGCUGAGCAAGCUAAGGUGAGUGGAAUAACUCUCGUUAAGGAACUCUGCAAGUUAACUCCGUAACUUAGGGAGAAGGAGUGCUGCCCCCGUCAAUCGUAAGGUGAAGCGGGGAGCAGCCACAGAAACCAGGCUCAAGCGACUGUUUACCAAAAACACAGGACUCUGCAUAAGACGCAAGUCGAAGUAUAGAGUCUGACGCCUGCCCGGUGCUGGAAGGUUAAAUGGAAGAGUGAGCCGCAAGGCGCAGCUUAGAAAUGAAGCCCCAGUAAACGGCGGCCGUAACUAUAACGGUCCUAAGGUAGCGAAAUUCCUUGUCGGGUAAGUUCCGACCU